AACGCACAUUGCGCCCGCUGGUAUUCCAGCGGGCAUGCCUGUUCGAGCGUCAUUUCACCCCUCAAGCGCCCCGCGCUUGGUGUUGGGGCGCUGCCGCCACGCCCGCGGCAGGCCUCCAAAUUCAGCGGCGAGCCCCCGCCGGGAACCCCGAGCGUAGUAGAAGAGAUUGUCAACCUCGCUAUGGGACGUUCCUGGCACCGCCUCGGCCGUAAAAAGUUUUAAGGGGAAGGGAGGGGUUAACCCCCCGCCCGUCCCCCCCGAAGAGUUGACCUCGGAUCAGGUAGGAAUACCCGCUGAACUUAA
RNAcentral lists this unclassified non-coding RNA (303 nucleotides) under uncultured fungus. Its description in RNAcentral is "partial contains 5.8S ribosomal RNA, internal transcribed spacer 2, and large subunit ribosomal RNA". The stretch from base 1 to 52 matches the Rfam family "5.8S ribosomal RNA", at positions 103 to 154 of the family's 154-position model. Lineage: Eukaryota; Fungi. The record is from RNAcentral.